RNAcentral lists this ribosomal RNA (477 nucleotides) under uncultured bacterium. RNAcentral describes it as "bacterial SSU rRNA". It matches the Rfam family "Bacterial small subunit ribosomal RNA", at positions 33 to 507 of the family's 1533-position model. The record is from RNAcentral.
ACGCUGGCGGCGUGCUUAACACAUGCAAGUCGAACGAUGAAGCUGGAGCUUGCUCUAGUGGAUUAGUGGCGAACGGGUGAGUAACACGUGAGCAAUCUGCCCUUGACUCUGGGAUAACUGCGGGAAACUGUAGCUAAUACCGGAUACGACACCUUGGGGCAUCCCGAGGUGUGGAAAGAAUUUCGGUCAAGGAUGAGCUCGCGGCCUAUCAGCUUGUUGGUGAGGUAACGGCUCACCAAGGCUACGAUAGCUAGGGGGCGUGAGAGCGUGGCCCCCCACACGGGUACUGAGACACGGACCCGACUCCUACGGGAGGCAGCAGUAAGGAAUAUUGGACAAUGGUCGAAAGACUGAUCCAGCCAUCCCGCGUGCAGGAUGACUGCCCUAUGGGUUGUAAACUGCUUUUAUAUGGGAAGAAUAGCAUAGAUUCAUCUGUGUAUGACGGUACCAUAUGAAUAAGCACCGGCUAACUCCGUG